GACGAACGCUGGCGGCGUGCUUAACACAUGCAAGUCGAACGGAAAGGCCCUGCUUUUGUGGGGUGCUCGAGUGGCGAACGGGUGAGUAACACGUGAGUAACCUGCCCUUGACUUUGGGAGAACAUCAGGAAACUGGGGCUAAUACCGGAUAGGAGCUCCUGCUGCAUGGGGGGGGUUGGAAAGAGUCGGCGGUGGGGGAUGGACUAGCGGCUUAUCAGCUUGUUGGUGGGGUAGUGGCUGCCGACGGCUUUGACGGGUAGCCGGCCUGAGAGGGUGACCGGCGACCUGGGGCCUGAGAGACGGCGCAGACGCCAACGUGCGGCAGUGGGGGGGAGCAUGGCAGAGUGGGCGGGAGCCAGUGGUGAAAGCCCCCGGAGCGGAAUGCUGGCUUUCUGGUGAAAAACAGAUUUGGCCGUAGACAAGCCCUGAUUGACGGUAACUAAUAAAAAAGCACCGGCUAACUACGUG
This 468-nucleotide ribosomal RNA is filed under the name uncultured bacterium. RNAcentral describes it as "partial 16S ribosomal RNA". It matches the Rfam family "Bacterial small subunit ribosomal RNA", at positions 28 to 507 of the family's 1533-position model. The record is from RNAcentral.